UACAGAGGUCCCAAGCGUUGUUCGGAUUCAUUGGGCGUAAAGGGUGCGUAGGCGGCAGGGUAAGUUGGAUGUGAAAUCCUGGGGCUUAACCUCAGAAUUGCAUUCAAUACUGCCUUGCUAGAGAGCUGUAGAGGAGACUGGAAUUUACGGUGUAGCAGUGAAAUGCGUAGAUAUCGUAAGGAAGGCCAGUGGCGAAAGCGAGUCUCUGGGCAGCAUCUGACGCUGAGGCACGAAGGCCAGGGGAGCAAACGGG
Molecule: ribosomal RNA, 253 nt
Filed under: uncultured bacterium
Lineage: Bacteria
Description: partial 16S ribosomal RNA
Rfam family: Bacterial small subunit ribosomal RNA
Source: RNAcentral